This 432-nucleotide ribosomal RNA is filed under the name uncultured bacterium. Its description in RNAcentral is "partial 16S ribosomal RNA". It matches the Rfam family "Bacterial small subunit ribosomal RNA", at positions 29 to 506 of the family's 1533-position model. The record is from RNAcentral.
AACGAACGCUGGCGGCAUGCCUAACACAUGCAAGUCGAACGAGACCUUCGGGUCUAGUGGCGCACGGGUGCGUAACGCGUGGGAACCUGCCUUUAGGUUCGGAAUAACUCAGAGAAAUUUGAGCUAAUACCGGAUGAUGUCUUCGGACCAAAGAUUUAUCGCCUUUAGAUGGGCCCGCGUUGGAUUAGCUAGUUGGUGGGGUAAAGGCCUACCAAGGCGACGAUCCAUAGCUGGUCUGAGAGGAUGAUCAGCCACACUGGGACUGAGACACGGCCCAGACUCCUACGGGAGGCAGCGGUGGGGAAUUUUGGAAAAGGGGCGAAAGCCUGACCCAGCAAUGCCGCGUGAGUGAUUAAGGCCUUAGGUUUGUAAAGCUCUUUUACCCGAGAUGAUAAUGACAGGAUCGGGAGAAUAAGCCCCGGCUAACUCCGU